Molecule: ribosomal RNA, 500 nt
Filed under: uncultured bacterium
Lineage: Bacteria
Description: partial 16S ribosomal RNA
Rfam family: Bacterial small subunit ribosomal RNA
Source: RNAcentral
AUUGAACGCUGGCGGCAGGCCUAACACAUGCAAGUCGAGCGGUUGAGGGGAGCUUGCUCCCUGAUUCAGCGGCGGACGGGUGAGUAAUGCCUAGGAAUCUGCCUAUUAGUGGGGGACAACGUUUCGAAAGGAACGCUAAUACCGCAUACGUCCUACGGGAGAAAGCAGGGGACCUUCGGGCCUUGCGCUAAUAGAUGAGCCUAGGUCGGAUUGGCUUGUUGGUGAGGUAAUGGCUCACCAAGGCGACGAUCCGUAACUGGUCUGAGAGGAUGACCAGUCACACUGGGACUGAGACACGGUCCAGACUCCUACGGGAGGCAGCAGUGGGGAAUAUUGGACAAUGGGCGAAAGCCUGAUCCAGCCAUGCCGCGUGUGUGAAGAAGGUCUUCGGAUUGUAAAGCACUUUAAGUUGGGAGGAAGGGUUGUAGAUUAAUACUCUGCAAUAUUGACGUUACCGACAGAAUAAGCACCGGCUAACUCUGUGCCAGCCGCCGCAGUAA